Molecule: ribosomal RNA, 497 nt
Filed under: uncultured bacterium
Lineage: Bacteria
Description: partial 16S ribosomal RNA
Rfam family: Bacterial small subunit ribosomal RNA
Source: RNAcentral
GAUGAACGCUGGCGGCGUGCCUAAUACAUGCAAGUCGAGCGAACAGACGAGGAGCUUGCUCCUCUGACGUUAGCGGCGGACGGGUGAGUAACACGUGGAUAACCUACCUAUAAGACUGGGAUAACUUCGGGAAACCGGAGCUAAUACCGGAUAAUAUAUUGAACCGCAUGGUUCAAUAGUGAAAGACGGUUUUGCUGUCACUUAUAGAUGGAUCCGCGCCGCAUUAGCUAGUUGGUAAGGUAACGGCUUACCAAGGCGACGAUGCGUAGCCGACCUGAGAGGGUGAUCGGCCACACUGGAACUGAGACACGGUCCAGACUCCUAAGGGGGGCAGCAGUAGGGAAUCUUCCGCAAUGGGCGAAAGCCUGACGGAGCAACGCCGCGUGAGUGAUGAAGGUCUUCGGAUCGUAAAACUCUGUUAUUAGGGAAGAACAAAUGUGUAAGUAACUAUGCACGUCUUGACGGUACCUAAUCAGAAAGCCACGGCUAACUACGUG